UACGUAGGGCGCAAGCGUUAUCCGGAAUUAUUGGGCGUAAAGAGCUCGUAGGCGGUUUGUCGCGUCUGCCGUGAAAGUCCGGGGCUUAACCCCGGAUCUGCGGUGGGUACGGGCAGACUAGAGUGCAGUAGGGGAGACUGGAAUUCCUGGUGUAGCGGUGAAAUGCGCAGAUAUCAGGAGGAACACCGAUGGCGAAGGCAGGUCUCUGGGCUGUAACUGACGCUGAGGAGCGAAAGCAUGGGGAGCGAACAG
This 252-nucleotide ribosomal RNA is filed under the name uncultured bacterium. RNAcentral describes it as "partial 16S ribosomal RNA". It matches the Rfam family "Bacterial small subunit ribosomal RNA", at positions 524 to 775 of the family's 1533-position model. The record is from RNAcentral.